Molecule: ribosomal RNA, 492 nt
Filed under: uncultured bacterium
Lineage: Bacteria
Description: partial 16S ribosomal RNA
Rfam family: Bacterial small subunit ribosomal RNA
Source: RNAcentral
AGUGAACGCUGGCGGUAGGCCUAACACAUGCAAGUCGAACGGCAGCGCAGUAAGAGCUUGCUCUUACGGGUGGCGAGUGGCGGACGGGUGAGGAAUACAUCGGAAUCUACUUUUUCGUGGGGGAUAACGUAGGGAAACUUACGCUAAUACCGCAUACGACCUACGGGUGAAAGCAGGGGAUCUUCGGACCUUGCGCGAUUGAAUGAGCCGAUGUCGGAUUAGCUAGUUGGCGGGGUAGAGGCCCACCAAGGCGACGAUCCGUAGCUGGUCUGAGAGGAUGAUCAGCCACACUGGAACUGAGACACGGUCCAGACUCCUACGGGAGGCAGCAGUGGGGAAUAUUGGACAAUGGGCGCAAGCCUGAUCCAGCCAUACCGCGUGGGUGAAGAAGGCCUUCGGGUUGUAAAGCCCUUUUGUUGGGAAAGAAAAGCAGCAGGUUAAUACCCCGCUGUUCUGACGGUACCCAAAGAAUAAGCACCGGCUAACUUCGUG